GCGCCUGUGGUAAGGUUGUGUUACGUUAGUACUCAUUAGCAUACAUAAUUAGUAGAAUAACAUAAGUGUGCAAUCGAUAAUUGUAUACUUCCCUAAACGUCAGCUGUGCGCGCGAACAAGAUGUGCCGCAGGGGCGCAACGAAAAGGUGGCGAAAAUGAAAUGCCACUAAAAUCAGCGAAAACCAUCUGUCAUCGGUCGUCAGCGAAACUCUACUUCCGACAACGGCAUUCCACACCAGACCUUCCGCAGUCGCCAGAAAAAUAGUGAGAGAUUGUAAAAGUGGCGGUUCACUGUCAAUCCGAUUGUAAAGUGUGCGCGAGUACUACGAGAAUAAUUCCUGCGGCCGACGGAAGGGUGAGCCGACAUAAAGUGGACAAACAUCACAUGCAAUUGUUGACACUGCUCGUUCUUUCUCCCAGACGAUCGCCGUGAUCACCAUCGCACGUGGGUGGCAGAACAAGAUUCCUCGGUAGAAGGCCGAGAGGCAAAUUCGGGCUAUCGAACGAAAGUACGGGAAAGACCACAAAGGGUGUGUCGGAAAACUCUGGUCAAAAUCCAGCGUGAAACAUAAGACGUGCGACUGCAACAAGUCGGCACGACAAGUCGCUUGAGUGCCAAUCCGGGGACGUACAGAAAUCAAGUUGAAUAAGCCCUAGGACCCGCAACACACUUAUCGGCAUCCACACUUUCACCACUCGCAUUCGCAAAGCAAAGGCCUCCACAAGGAGGCCUUUUGUUUACAUUACAGCUCGUCAAUUACAGUGAUUGGUCGCACCCACUCGAGCAGGAACCGCAGUGCGAGGUUCGCGAAGCCAUUCCGAAGGCCAUUCCUUCCAAGGAGAAGACGAAGCGCGAAGCAUAACGAGCAGAACGCGGACAGGAAUCAUUGUACGAUCGGUGACCAAAUCAUACCUCUCCGGAGGCACGAUAAGUUGGACACAGUAGCCGAUGGGUGGGCGUCGAAUGUGGUGGCCCGAAGUAGCAGCUGGCUCGUCUGUCGAAACACCGAACAGUUCGGAGCAAACACGUAAAACUCAAGUGUACGGAGCUUCACUAUCCCCACCUAACUCAGAGCAGUUGGUCGAGAUCAGACAGGAGGCACGAUGCAGUCGCUGACGAUCCGGCGUACGUGAGUGCUACUUCACAGAUAACAGAUAUUGAAGCUAGAACAAAUUUUAUUGAAAAUCCUGUGUAAACUUUUGAAUUGAUAUACGUUGGCCCACUACUGCCAUCUACUCAACUGAUUGCGGCAGUACAUAAGGAUGCAACUGAUUAACAACCGUCGAACGCAGCCAAUGCAUUUGACAGCCGCAUUUGGGCUGCGUUUUCAAUAACAAUGAUCGUUGCGCCAUCUCCAAACGAUUGCCAAACGCGGUCCCAAUUUAAAAUACAUUUGAAUUAACGGUUGCGAAUGUUUACACACGUAUCGGAUGCCAGCCUCAAUAUCUGUUAUCUGUGGCUACUUUAAGAAGUGAAACAGAAAGCAAAAGAAGACAGGGCAUGCAAGCUUACCAGGAGAGUAGGGGUACCAAUUAAGCGAAAUGAUGUAAGGAAAAAUACAAAAUGAUUGCACAUUAUGUCAUGCUUUGUGGCGUUUAAUGUUGACUAGCCGGACCGACUAAUCCCCUUUUAUCACGGAGAGGUCGUUUCACAACACAGACGCUCAAUAAAAUUUGCACCUCCGGAGAGGAGCAAACCCCCCUUUCCCUGUCAGCGUACGACCAUAGUUCUCAUCGGGGUUGGUUAUCCGAUCUUCCCUAAGGUUGCUCGUAUCACGGCCAUUACCACGAGAAGGUAGGAAUAGAAGUUGAUGGGUAAGAGGCUCCACCCUAAUAUAAUCGAUAUAGAACCACACAUAAAUUAAAUAAUUGCUAAUUCGAGACCACACAUUAAGUUUAUUUUGAUAUAUAUUUUAUAAGUAGUUCGCGUGGAGAAUGGUUAUGUGUGCGCUGAUAUACAUCAUAAGUUAAAUCUAUGGAUUUUUGCCAAUAAAUAUGUUUGGAUUUUUAGUAGUGAACCUGUGAUGUAUGCUAUUCAGUAAUAUAAUCACCAUUUGUUUAGAGAACUGCAGCAUAUUGCAUGGAGUAUGCAUGCCAGAUAACUGAUUCAUAAGCUGUAGACGCUGUAGACUUAGUAGCGAUAUUUAUUAGUCGUUACUUGAAGAAUGGAUUCAUAAAUACCCCGAUAAAUACAAAAACUUCAAUGUUAUUACAGAUUUUUCAUGUUUCCAUUUUCAUGCUACCCAGCCCUUGAAUUGUAGGCAAAUAGAAUCCUUUUGUUUAUUAACCCUUCCCAGA
Armigeres subalbatus is the source of this 2298-nucleotide long non-coding RNA. RefSeq lists it as uncharacterized. The record is from RefSeq and is a predicted model, not a curated record. NCBI's taxonomy places the organism in Eukaryota, Metazoa, Arthropoda, Insecta, Diptera, Culicidae. The transcript has 4 exons.